This 815-nucleotide long non-coding RNA is filed under the name Setaria italica (foxtail millet). RNAcentral's name for it is "long non-coding RNA (SITA_LNC002707)". The record is from RNAcentral. Lineage: Eukaryota; Viridiplantae; Streptophyta; Magnoliopsida; Poales; Poaceae.
UCAUAUCAAGUAAUUAAAGAAGCCAAUAAGAGAUGCCUGCUAUAGGAAGAUAACUGAAGAAUGCUCACAAGACAAUGAUGAAGCAGGUAUGAUUGAUCAAAACCAAUUUCAACUGACAUAUAUUAUGUCUAGAUUUGGAUACCUAGUCCCCAACUUCUUUUCUGUUGUUGGAUCUAGUACUAUUACUAUUAUUCUGCUGCAUAUUUCACUUUGUAUAUUUGUAUAAUCCAUGUGGGAGAAAAAUUAAAACUAAUAAGAAGUACUCUGUAUAUUGAAGGAAGUGUCUACAGAUUAGGUUACAUUACAAUGUCAAAAAUUAGGAUGGUCUUUUAUAUAUUUGCAUCCUACUGAUAAUUUUUCUGCACAACAUGUUAGAGUAGGUGCUCUGGUAGUCAGACUGCUUUUGAGACCCUAGAAUAAAAAAGAAGAGAGGGAGGAUUAUUUGAACUCUAAACAAGGAGCUAGGAUUGAGCAAUGAUUGCAACCAUUUGUAGCCAAAUUGGGCAUCACCUUCAUAGCUGAUGCAGCAUCUAUCACCACGUUCAAUUGUUUAUCACCUAUGGGCUCAUGCCAAAUCUUAUACAUUUGUUCUUUUUUUUCCUUGGCUUUAACACAGUAACAUGAGAACAAAAGGCAAAACAAGAGUCAAGCAUAUCAUUGCCCAUAGGAGAUCCAUCAGAGUGACACCUUACCAGACCUUUCCGGUGCUACUGGUAUUGGGUGUACUGCUACUACUGUUACUGACCAGAGAGAUUAUGACCUUUUGUUGUAAACCUAAUAACUUCAGCUGCAUUUCACAAUCUCAUUGACAAGGC